GAUGAACGCUGGCGGCGUGCCUAAUACAUGCAAGUCGAGCGAACAGACGAGGAGCUUGCUCCUCUGACGUUAGCGGCGGACGUGUGAGUCACACGUGGAUAACCUACCUAUAAGACUGGGAUAACUUCGGGAAUCCGGAGCUAAUACCGGAUAACAUAUUGAACCUAAUGUUUCAAUAGUGAAAUACGGUUUUGCUGUCACUUAUAGAUGGAUCCGCGCCGCAUUAGCUCGUUGGUAAGGUAACGACUUACCAAGGCAACGAUGCAUAGCCGACCUGAUAGAGUGAUAGGCCACACUAGAACUGAUACACGAGACAGAGUCCUACGAGAGGCGACAGUAGGGAUUCUAGCACAAUGGGCGAAAGCCUGGCGAGAAAACACCGCGUGAGUGAUGAAGAACCUCGGAUCGUAAAACUCUAUUAUGAGGGAAGAACAAAAGUGUAAGUAACUAUGCACGUCUUGACGGUACCUAAUGAGAAUGCCACGGCUAACUACGUG
Molecule: ribosomal RNA, 497 nt
Filed under: uncultured bacterium
Lineage: Bacteria
Description: partial 16S ribosomal RNA
Rfam family: Bacterial small subunit ribosomal RNA
Source: RNAcentral